Molecule: RNA transcript, 4438 nt
Organism: Ostrea edulis (European flat oyster)
Lineage: Eukaryota; Metazoa; Mollusca; Bivalvia; Ostreida; Ostreidae
Gene name: serine/arginine-rich splicing factor 2-like
Exons: 3
Source: RefSeq, a predicted model, not a curated record
AUUUACCCUAAUCGGAAUCGUGACGUAGAACUGACCUUCAUUCAUAUUUAUUACUCAUUGCGUAUUUGCCAUUUAAAUACCUGAAGGAUUUCCCAGUACUAGGGACAAGCCUAAUACAUUUUAUGUGUCAAUACAUUAUACAUGUAGUCUAAAGAUAAUUUUUGAAAUCGUGAAAAUUAAAUUGUCUUCUUUUAUUCUGAGUAUCAGAUAUGUAUACGGUUACAUGUUACGAGUGUAUCAAAUAUUUAGUAUAUGCUAUACUACUAUCCAAAAGCUCUUAUACUCGUAUGUAUUAUUUUCUACAACCAACACUUGGCAACUGUACAUGAGUCUGGCCUCAAAACAAAAUCGUAUUGGAAGUUUAAUACGUAUGCAGUUUCAGUCCCAGACUAGUGUACUGCAGGGUGGGAAAAUAACCUCGAAUCCAAGUAGUAAUUCAAUACUUUAUUAUGGUUAUGGCUUCACAAGAGGUAAAAGACUGAAAUUAAAUAUAAACCACAAAUAAAUUCCUACACAAAAGGAAUUCCUGAUUUAGAAAAACACUUAUUACUCAUAAAUUUGAUAAUUUCACCUAACUGACUUUGGCAACAAUAUGAUUUGACAAAUCUAAACAGUAUAAAAGAUUCCUAGGUAAAUUUAACAAUGAAUAUCUACUAUAUUUUCAAAGUAAACAAUCGUUUAACGCCUAACCCGAAUUUUCUCACCUAUGUUUCAAGAAUUAUCGAACACGUGCUUGGCAUUACUAAAUUAUACAAAAACAUAUAUAAAUGCAUUUAGAUCAGUGUUCUAAUGAAAACUUACAUCGGUGUGGCACCUCAAAGGAUUGAAAAAGAACAAAUUUUCAGUAAAGGUAGCAGCCCCGCUGCAUUGACAAAGUCCCGGACAUAAAGUGCUAAUCCCGUAUGGACCUGUAAAAAUUGAUUCAACAUAGCAAUUUGCUACUGGAAUACAUCUAAACUCAAGCUGUUUAACGGUUAUUUACCUUGUUGGGUCUUAAAGUUUUUCUUCCAAAGCUUUGCAAAAUUCACAACGGUUUUUCGUAAAAGGCACCAUGCCUUUGUCAACAACUUUCAUUCAGAAAAACAUACAAGUUCUCGUUAGCAGCCUUGACUAUUAAAACACAGAUAUUGCAUGCUGUAUUCGGCGUGUUUGUGGAGAGUCCUAUUCACAAACUAAACAGUGUCCAGGUUGGAAGCUUAUUUCAAACUCAGAACAUGGUAAUAAACAGAGAUUUGACAUGAAACUUUUAUAAAAAAAAAAAAAAAAAAGAAAAAAAAAAAAAAAAAAAAAAAAGAAACAACAACAACUAGAAGCGUGUUUCAAUUAAGAAGGAAAAAAAAUCCACAUUGUAUAUGGAAAAGGAAUAUCCCAAAAAAAAAUAAAUAAAAAAUGUGUUCGUGAGGGAGUCGAACCCGGUCGUUUUAAAAAUAGAAAACAUCUUUACAUAUAAUAGUCGACUACCUAAUCCACUGAACCACGCUGUAGACCAUACACACCUAAGGAAAAUUAACGUACAGGUGAAGUUGAAAAUAAUACCAGUGAAGUCGUUUCGAUUUUUUUAAAUUUACAAAAAAAUGCCCUCGUGAAACAAAAUUUCAAAGCGACAGUUUUUUAGAGGAAAACUCGAAGUACAUGCUCAUGCUGAAUUUAUUUUGUUUCAUGGAGGCAGUUUUUCUGAAAUUCGGGGAUACCCUUUAAUUUCAACGCUAAAAAUCAUAUAAAUCGCUUAUUGCUUUAUUUAAACUCGAAAUAUUUUGGCUAAUUUUGUCAAUACAUGUCUUUUCAACUUAUUUUCAAAAAUUAUUGAAUCAAGACAAAUGUUCCAAUUGGUUUUAUCAUAUAUUUGAAUAACUUAAAAUUUUCGAUCUUUCAUGAAACACCUUUAGGGAAAUUAACAUGAGACGUGUAACACGUACCUUCUUUCUGGAUACAAUGAUUAUAGGUCACUAUAUUUUCGAAAUAAUCUUACAAGAUUUUUUCCCCGCGGAAGGGGGGGGGGGUCUGAAAUGUGUUAUUGUCUGCUGCAGUUCCAUAGAAUUUGCUCUUGCAAAACAAUAUAAAAUUUACUACUUUUGUAAGUAUUGAAGUUUCAAUUUCAUUUUACAUCUAGACGAAUAUUAAUUUUCAUACUUUGCUAAUUAAAUCGCUGUUUAUAUCGGUCAAGAGCUUUGUUGAUAAUAUAUUUUGUAUGAUACAGCCUUAUUUGACUGGGAAUGGUGGACUGUAAUCUAGCUACUUGGAGGUCAAAGUAUCAUAACGAGUUCCGGAAUCCGCAUCAUUUCUAAAAUUUAUAGAUCCGCGCCUUAAACUCAGUCGUAACCAUUCGACCAUUUCCGGAAAUCGUUUUAGCAACGUUAAUUGUGCGCAUGCGGCUUUCUAGACGUUCCGUCCCAUAAUCAAUCCGUCCCUUAGUCGAUUCGUCCCAUUACCAAUCCGUCCCUAGACUAUCCGUCCCUUAGUUAAUACGUCUCCUAGUCGAUCCGGCCCAGAAAAAAAAAUGAUAUUUUUCAAGUGCUAUUUACAGUACUGAAUUGAUUUAAUUCAUCUGCGUAUUUCAUCUUCAUGGUGUGUGUGCCGCUGAUAUCUUCUGUCAUCAGGUAGUCAUCCUUUAAUAUGCUCUAUGGUAUUUAUGGCUUGAUUGCAGACUAAUUAACCUUGAUCACACGUAAUGUAUAUUAAUCUUCUUGAGACUGUUUAUCAUAACAAAUGUCUCCUCUUUUAAAAACAAGAAAAACAUACUUUGCCAAAGCAUUUAAGGUAUUUGUUCCUCCAUAUUGAAAUAAGUUCCCAAAAAGAAGAGAUGUUUUGAUAUUUGACAGCUUUUUCUAAAAUCAUUAUACACAUCACAAUAUUCGAUAAAGUGGGCUUAAUUUUCCAUACAAAGAAUACCUUUUGUUUUUAAACAAAAUUUACAUACUCUGUCAUUUCUUGAAAUAUUUCUACACCUGUCACAUUCUAUUUCCAAAUCAUGAGAAAUUCUUUGAACUUCUGGAGUUAAAAAAAACAACAACCAAAAACUUCUAAUAGUUAGGUUACUGUAAGCUCGUAAUUAAUUAUCAAAGGUUGCACAACAAUGCAGUUAUAAAAACUGUUUUCACUAAGGUGUUUUCAAUGAUCAGUGGACAUGGGACACACAUUUACAUUGAUUGCUAUACAUAGUUGAAUAACGAUGUUUUUACAAUAAUUAAUGAGCACACAUUUUUAUAACCAUCACACUUUAAACAAAAAUUAUAAAUCCUAGUUAAGAGUUGUAUAAACGAUUUUAUUCACACGUCUAACUUCGGCAGUUAUCUAAUUUUGAUAACUAUAACUGCAAUAUAUAUGCAAAAACUUCCCUUUUUCUUAAGUAAUAAUCAUUUAUUAUAUCUUUGAUUUAAAAAAAAUGGAGGGGCCAGAUCGACUAAGCAAAUGGGGCCGAAUCGACCAUGGGACGGACCGUCUAGGGACGGAUCGACUAGGGGGACGGAACGACCUACUACUGCGCAUGCGCAGUGAAGGAGCACGCGGAGAGGAGAGGAAGAGAGAAGGGCAGACAUUUUAAAAGAGAGCAAAAAUGAGUUACGGAAGAGGACCUCCCGAAAUUGAUGGAAUGUCUUCAUUGAAAGUUGAUAAUUUAACGUACAGAACAACACCAGAAGAUUUACGAAGGGCAUUUGACAAGUACGGUGAUGUUGGAGAUGUUUACAUUCCACGGGACCGAUUCACCCGUGAAAGCAGGGGAUUUGCGUUUGUUAGAUUCUAUGACAAAAGGGAUGCCGAGGAUGCGCUGGACUCCAUGGACGGCGCGAUCAUGGACGGUCGAGAGUUGAGGGUGCAGAUGGCUAGAUACGGACGACCUUCUGAGCCUUACAGGAGAGGGCCUCCGAGACGUAGCAGUGGAUAUCGUUCAAGAAACAGGUCAAGAUCUAGGUCGCGUUCCAGAUCUAGACGCCGAUCCAGGUCUAGAUCCAGACGAAGGAGCAGACGUUCCAGGAGUAGGUCGUACAGCAGGUCAAGGAGUAGGAGUAACAGCAAGAGCCCAAGCAGAAGCCGAUCACGAAGCAAAUCGGCAUCUCGUUCUCCUAACAGAAAUGAUGACGGCCAGCGGGAGGAAGACUGAGGGCCAUUUGGUGGUGUUAAGGCCAACUGUGUGCAUCGUGAAACUUGACUGCAUGACUGAGACAUGUGCAGUUUAUCUCUUGAUAUACUCCUGUGCAAAAAAAAAGGAGUAAGUAAGCGGUAUGCAGGUCACUGCUUGUGCUGUGAGGUAGCAGUAGUGCUGUGCAGUUGCAGUAAUGUGCUGUAGCGGUCUGGUGGUGCAGUAAUGCAGUGGGAGACAGCCCCACGUCAGGCUGUUACUGAGUGCAGAUGGUUCAGUGGGUGGGGGGCAGUUGAAUUAUUAAGGGGACAAAUAAUUGUUCAAGUGUAUGGAAAUAAAAUCUCAUUGUAUACAGGAUAA